Molecule: ribosomal RNA, 253 nt
Filed under: uncultured bacterium
Lineage: Bacteria
Description: partial 16S ribosomal RNA
Rfam family: Bacterial small subunit ribosomal RNA
Source: RNAcentral
UACGUAGGUGGCAAGCGUUGUCCGGAUUUAUUGGGUUUAAAGGGUGCGUAGGCGGUUCCUUAAGUCAGUGGUGAAAUACUUCAGCUCAACUGGAGAGGUGCCAUUGAUACUGGGGAACUUGAGUACUGAUGAGGUAGGCGGAAUGGACGGUGUAGCGGUGAAAUGCUUAGAUAUCGUCCAGAACACCGAUAGCGAAGGCAGCUUACUAAGGAGUAACUGACGCUGAGGCACGAAAGUAUGGGGAUCAAACAGG